UACGUAGGGGGCGAGCGUUGUCCGGAUUUACUGGGCGUAAAGGGUGAGUAGGCGGUUGUAUGUGUCAGAUGUAAAAGGCUAAGGCUUAACCAUAGUUAGCAUUUGAAACUGUACAACUUGAGUGCAGGAGAGGUAAGUGGAAUUCCUAGUGUAGCGGUGAAAUGCGUAGAUAUUAGGAGGAACACCAGUGGCGAAGGCGACUUACUGGACUGUAACUGACGCUGAGUCACGAAAGCGUGGGUAGCAAACAGGAUUAGAUACCCUGGUAGUCCACGCUGUAAACGAUGAGUGCUAGGUGUUGGCCAGCGAUGGUCAGUGCCGAAGUAAACACAAUAAGCACUCCGCCUGGGGAGUACGGUCGCAAGACUGAA
Molecule: ribosomal RNA, 371 nt
Filed under: uncultured bacterium
Lineage: Bacteria
Description: bacterial SSU rRNA
Rfam family: Bacterial small subunit ribosomal RNA
Source: RNAcentral